Molecule: non-coding RNA, 923 nt
Organism: Bemisia tabaci
Lineage: Eukaryota; Metazoa; Arthropoda; Insecta; Hemiptera; Aleyrodidae
Source: RefSeq, a predicted model, not a curated record
UAUAUAAGCGAGCGCUGCGCCCAAAUCGAGGUCUUUUUACAUCCCCUAGACCAGAGAUACGUUGAUCAUCCAACAUCCCAUAGUAGUAUUUGUUAACCACCAAACUCGUUACACCCGGACAAACUGUGUAAUCAUAAUUUAGUUCAAAGUAAAUAUAGUUGUAGUAAAAGUUCUAACAUAAAACUACACUUUCAUGCAAAAGGGAUGGAAAAAAAAUCAUUAAUUCGAGUCAGGGAACGUAUAACUAGUGUCGAGGAAGUGUGAUCGAUCAUUUCAAACGUGAACUCGUCAAAUAUGGACCCUCCAACCCUAAAAUCGCAAUCGAUCCCAGCGAUAGACAACAUUGACACGGUAUAUGAGGUUCUCUCAUAUAAUAUUCCAGGAAUGCGAAGAGAGUUGCUGAACAGGCAUCCUCUCACGGGCCACGGCGACAGAGACUUACCGUUGAAGAAGGUGUUUUUGCACCAUCCAGAAUUUCCGGGGGGGGGGGCAGAUGAUACUAUUUCCAAUUCUAGGGGGGCCAGGCCCCCCCUGCCCCCCUUCCUACGCCUCUGUCCACCAGGCUAAGAAUGAAACCCAUAAAAGGAAUCACCAAAUCUUACAAUCUAUAUUAUACAGCUACAAGCAAAAUCUUGGAAGCACUAUUUCUGACAAACUACCGGAACGAUAAGGAUGAUCUUUACAUGUAUGUCAUCUGUAAUAGCUGUAGAUAUGCAAAAAAUUAUGAAACCCCGAACUUUCAAUGUUGAAUUAAAAUGGAAGAACAUUUUUACCUAUACAUAUGCGUACAGAACCCGCGAAGCGGGUCUGAGGGCGCAAAGCGCCCUCCAGGGGGUUAGGCCGCGUAGCGGUCAGGGGGCAGGGCCCCCUAGUUUUUUUAUGCCAUUCAACCGAGGAAAAUAAAGAACACUUUAAUACAGAGA